UGCAAUGAUCGGCUGCAGAGACGGGGCUGGGAAAACGCCUACUUCUGGCAGCUCUGCAAUCGGAACCUCGAGACGUCGGUGCACCUCUUCUGGGAGUGCACGAUGGCCAGAGAGGUUUGGCAACGUGCAGCGGCAUGGAAGGGAUGUGCCGCCCUGUGCCCUGCGGGCUGGUCACCGCCCAGUUCGACCAUGGAGGUGGUGGCCAUGAUCGCAAACAAGACGGAGCCGGGCCACAGGAGAGGGAUACUGUCGCUAACCGCCCUAAUCUCUUGGCGCAUUUGGCUGGAGCGAAACUGCUGCACCUUCAAGAACAAGCAGCCAAGCGCCAGCGACAUCAUCGGCUCUAUCAGAUGCGACCUGGAACAAUGGCGCCUUGCCGGCGCAGCCUGUUUGGAGACCCCUUUCGGGGACCAAACGUGA
RNAcentral lists this ribosomal RNA (420 nucleotides) under Triticum aestivum (bread wheat). RNAcentral describes it as "partial small subunit ribosomal RNA". Lineage: Eukaryota; Viridiplantae; Streptophyta; Magnoliopsida; Poales; Poaceae. The record is from RNAcentral.